Molecule: ribosomal RNA, 1108 nt
Filed under: uncultured bacterium
Lineage: Bacteria
Description: bacterial SSU rRNA
Rfam family: Bacterial small subunit ribosomal RNA
Source: RNAcentral
GAAUUCGCCCUUGAAGGUUGAUGCUGGCUCAAGACGAACGCUGGUGGCGCGCCUAAUUCAUAUCAGUCAAACCGAGCUAAUACAGCUUGCUUUUUACGCUUAGUGGACAACGGGUGAAUAAGGCAUGAUUAAUCUGACCUAUAGCGGGGGACAACAGUUGGAAACCACUGCUAAUCCCCCAUAAACCCCCGGUGCCGCCUGACACUGAGGGAAAAGGAUUUAUUCACUUUAUGAUGGACUCCCGUCCAAUUAUCUAGUUGGGUGAGGUAACGGCCCACCAAGGCGACGAUCGAUAGCCGGCCUGAGAGGUUGAACGGCCACAUUGGGACUGAGACACGGCCCAGACUCCUACGGGAGGCAGCAGUGGGGGAUAUUGCACAAAUGGGGGAAACCCUGAUGCAGCGACGCCGCGUGGAGGAAGAAGGUUUUCGGUAUGUAAACUCCUGUCAUUAGGGACGAUAGUGACGGUACCUAACAAGGAAGCACCGGCUAACUACGUGCCAGCAGCCGCGGUAAUACGUAGGGGGCAAGCGUUGUCCGGAAUUACUGGGUGUAAAGGGAGCGCAGGCGGGAAGACAAGUUGGAUGUGAAAGCCAUGGGCUCAACCCAUGAAUUGCUUUCAAAACUGUUUUUCUUGAGUAGUGCAGAGGUAGAUGGAAUUCCCGGUGUAGCGGUGGAAUGCGUAGAUAUUGGGAGGAACACCAGUGGCGAAGGCGGUCUACUGGGCACCAAACUGACGCUGAGGCUCGAAAGCAUGGGUAGCAAACAGGAUUAGAUACCCUGGUAGUCCACGCCGUAAACGAUGAUCACUAGGUGUUGGGGGAUUGACCCCCUCAGUGCCGCAGUUAACACAAUAAGUAAUCCACCUGGGGAGUACGACCGCAAGGUUGAAACUCAAAGGAAUUGACGGGGGCCCGCACAAGCAGUGGAGUAUGUGGUUUAAUUAGAAGCAACGCGAAGAACCUUUCCAGGUCUUGACAUCGGAUGCAUAACACAGAGAUGUGCGAAAUCCUUUGGGACAUCGAGACAGGUGGUGCAUGGUUGUGGUCAGCUUGUGUGUUGAGAUGUUGGGUUAAGUCCUGCAAGGAGGGCAACCCUUAUUGCCAGU